AUGAGUUACGGGAAUGACAUGCUUAAGUUUGAUUUGGAAGAGCAGACUCUAGCUGUUAUUAAUGGGCCACCGGUUACAGAUCGUCCCCACUGUGGUCAGAUCAUCCAAGCCAAGGCUGAAGAUGGUGCUGUUGGUUUUUCCAUUUUAUCUUACCCGCGCUUACAAAUGUGGCGGGGGAAUAUGAAUAUUCCUGGUGUUGCCACAUGGGUGAUGUGGAAGACCAUUGAAAUAAACAAUAUUCUUGGGCUCCCUAUUCAGGCAAGGUGGAGAGGGUUCGAAACCAUACUGGGAUAUUCGAAGGAUACAUAUGCUAUUUUUAUAUACAUGGACACCAAUUUAUACAUGGUUCAACUUAAAUCAAUGCAAUCCAAGAGACUUCACAAAACAAUUUAUAUCAAUGAUUACCAUCCUUUGACAGGUUUCUAUUCACCAGGUAUUUGCUCAAUCUUAGUAUUUGUAUUGUAG
This 465-nucleotide ribosomal RNA is filed under the name Triticum aestivum (bread wheat). Its description in RNAcentral is "partial small subunit ribosomal RNA". Lineage: Eukaryota; Viridiplantae; Streptophyta; Magnoliopsida; Poales; Poaceae. The record is from RNAcentral.